This 496-nucleotide ribosomal RNA is filed under the name uncultured bacterium. RNAcentral describes it as "partial 16S ribosomal RNA". It matches the Rfam family "Bacterial small subunit ribosomal RNA", at positions 28 to 507 of the family's 1533-position model. The record is from RNAcentral.
GAUGAACGCUGGCGGCGUGCCUAAUACAUGCAAGUCGAGCGAACGGACGAGAAGCUUGCUUCUCUGAUGUUAGCGGCGGACGGGUGAGUAACACGUGGAUAACCUACCUAUAAGACUGGGAUAACUUCGGGAAACCGGAGCUAAUACCGGAUAAUAUUUUGAACCGCAUGGUUCAAAAGUAAAAGACGGUCUUGCUGUCACUUAUAGAUGGAUCCGCGCUGCAUUAGCUAGUUGGUAAGGUAACGGCUUACCAAGGCAACGAUGCAUAGCCGACCUGAGAGGGUGAUCGGCCACACUGGAACUGAGACACGGUCCAGACUCCUACGGGAGGCAGCAGUAGGGAAUCUUCCGCAAUGGGCGAAAGCCUGACGGAGCAACGCCGCGUGAGUGAUGAAGGUCUUCGGAUCGUAAAACUCUGUUAUUAGGGAAGAACAUAUGUGUAAGUAACUGUGCACAUCUUACGGUACCUAAUCAGAAAGCCACGGCUAACUACGUG